UGAUUCUUCUCUAUUUGCUAUUAAAUUUGCAAAUUGGUAAGUGUUUAAGCUCUCUCAGUUAUGUUUCUUCCCUAUUUGUGUUCGUGCUUUUGAAUAUCCCUAUUAUGUGGGCUUUUCUAAGCCAAUAUGAUAUUAUGCCGACCUUUUGUUUGAUUUUACUCUUGUAAUUCUUCAUCUAGAUUUGUGUAAGUUAGCAUGAUUAGAACAUUUCCUGGGCUGUGACACUUGUGCGAAAUUGGUGUAUUUAUGAAUGCCUAAUCUCUCACAUUGACUGCUUAAUAUUGUAUCUUUAUUUCUCAAUCUGAACGCUUGUCCUGAAACUCUAAUGGAUUACUGCCUGCCCAGAAGUUAUCUUAAUAAAUUUCUGCAUGCUCUACUAUUGUCCUUGUCUAUAUGAAUCCUUGCUUUAACCAACAUGUAGAUUUAAGAAUUGUAAUGUGGUGUCUAGCUAACUCUGUCUCUUUAAAAUUGCUUAGGUCCCUAAUACAAUUAGCUUUCUGCACUAUGCAUGGUUGAUUUGUUUAAGUUCUGAAAUCUAUCUGCUAUGCUUGACCUUAAAUUGGCAAUGUUUGCUACUACGAUAUUUUGAACAAGGGAACUAUUGUGUUACACUUAGCGCAAUUGAGAUUCUUAUUAGUUGCUACAGAUUACGCAUGUCUUCUUGUUCACCAUGUGUAAUUAUCAUCCUCUGCCUAUGGCUCUAUCAAACCUUUCUUACUUAGAUUCACAGUCUUAAAAUCCUGUUUGGACUAAUUCUGAACCAUGCUAUACCCUAGACUCACUCUGGAAAUAUUAACAUGUGCAUCUUUUGUUUGCUUACCCUGUUAACUCUAAAUGACAUAUUCAUUCAACUCUCAUAAUGUUAUGUAUAAUUUUAGCAUGCUCUCACCUUCUUAGUAAUUUAACCCCAUGUUAUUAGUUUGCCAUGUCAAAACUACCAUAUUGAAAUUAAGUCUAUUGAUUCUCCUAGUUUUUGUUCCUUGCUUAAUCAAAUCUGUCACUUUUUUGCUUAUGAAAUGUCCAUUAGUUCAUGAAUCCUGCUAAAUUAUUUUAAACAAAUUUCAUAUAUUUUAUUUUAUAGCCCAAAACAGGGCUAAUUUCGGACCAAAUAUGGCCGAAAACACUUGGCCCACCCCAGCUCAUCCUUUACCAGCCCAAAACCAAAUAACCCUUUAAUAAACCCGGUCGGUACCCGCUUUAUCCGGCCCGCCCUACUCUUCCAUUCAUCCCAGCCCGUCUCCCAACUUUAAUUAAUCAGCACCAAACCCUGAUGCCAAUUCUUCUGAGAUAGCCGCUACCAAAUCCUUUCAUCCUCUCUUCUUCUCUGAGAAACCCUAGCCGCCGCUGCUUAGUUCCUUUCCGAUUCCAACCCAGAAAUGGAAUCUACCUAUGAUAUACUUACCUUAUUAAUCUCCUCUCAUCAUUGGUCGUCUGUUUAUGGUGUUACUUAGGUACUUUCCUAAGUUUGGAAAGUAUCACUUUCGAGAUCGAACUAGAAUGACUCGAAUCUUUGAUUUGGGCGUUAUUCCAUCUAUAGACACUCAACAAAGAGUGAUUUGCACUCUUAACGACUACUAUUAUUCUCUCUGUAUUCAUUAUUCUGUACUUUCUGCAUUCUUGGUUGUGGACGAUUGAAAGCCAAGAACAUCAGAAUUGUCUCUAAUUACCUCUCUAAUGCGAGCACUGGUCGGGGCUCGUUUGAAUCUCCUAUAAACUCUGAUGCACUAGGAGUGUGAAAUUCCUAUUGUUGUUCUUAUUUGCUACUGGCAUUUGGUGAUUCUUCUCUAUUUGUUAUUAAAUUUGCAAAUUGGUAAGUGUUUAAGCUCUCUCAGUUAUGUUUCUUCCCUAUUUGUGUUCGUGCUUUUGAAUAUCCCUAUUAUGUGGGCUUUUCUAAGCCAAUAUGAUAUUAUGCUGACCUUUUGUUUUAUUUUACUCUUGUAAUUCUUCAUCUGGAUUUGUGUAAGUUAGCGUGAUUAGAAGAUUUCUUGGGUUGUGACACUUGUUCGAAAUUGGUAUAUUUAUGAAUGCCUAAUCUCUCACAUUGACUGCUUAAUAUUGUAUCUUUAUGUCUCAAUUUAAACGCUUGUCCUGAAACUCUAAUGGAUUACUGCCUGCCCAGAAGUUGUCUUAAUAAAUUUCUGCAUGCUCUACUAUUGUCCUUGUCUAUAUGAAUCCUUGCUUUAACCAACAUGUGGAUUUAAUAAUUGUAAUGUGGUGUCUAGCUAACUCUAUCUCUUUAAAAUUAUUUAGGUCCCUAAUACAAUUAGCUUUCUCCACUAUGCAUGGUUGACUUGUUUAAGUUCUGAAAUCUAUCUGCUAUGCUUGACCUUAAGUUGGCAAUGUCUGCUACUAUGAUAUUUUGAACUAGGGAACUAUUGUGUUACACUCAACGCAAUUGAGAUUCUUAUUAGUUGCUACAGAUUAUGCAUGUCUACUUGUUCACCAUGUGUAACUGUCAUCCUCUGCCUAUGGCUCUAUCAAACCUUUCUCAUUUAUAUUCACAGUUUUAAAAUCCUGUUUGGACUAAUUCUGAACCAUGCUCUACCCUAGACUCACUCUGGAAAUAUUAACAUGUGCAUCUUGUGUGUGCUUACCCUGUUAACUCUAAAUGGCAUAUUCAUUCAACUCUCAUAAUGUUAUGUAUAUUUUUAGCAUGCUCUCACCUUCUUAGUGAUUUAACCCCAUGUUAUUAAUUUGCCAUGUCAAAACUACCCUGUUGAAAUUAAGUCUAUUUAUUCUCCUAGUUCUUGUUCCUUGCUUAAUCAAAUCUUUCGCUUUUUUGCUUAUGAAAUGUCCAUGUGUUCAUGAAUCCUGCUAAAUGACUCCAUGAGGUUUUUCUAAUGCACAUCUACAUAUCAUGUCUACAGGGUUUCAACUAAUCAAUCAAUCAGUCGCUUUUAUUGCUCUUAGCACGUCGCUCCUCUAGAUAUCAUGAUUAUAUGACCUUAAUCAACUAAUCAAUUACUUUGCUGCUUUGUUGUAUUGCUACACUUAGAUGACAUGAUAAUAGGGAUAAAGUGUUAUGAAAUCAAUCUCAAUUGUCAACCAUUAGAGAUCCUGCCUAUAGGAUGCUAUUAGUCAUCAUAGACAGCAUGUUUAUAAGAUCGGCGUUUUUAAUCUUGUGCUUUCGAACAGUCUUAUUGCCUCGUUGCAUGAACAAUGUAGAUGUCAUACCUAUAGGUGUGUAAUACCUUUAAUCUGCAAAUCCACUGCAUGUACACUGCUGCAAAUCAGAAUCACCUAGAAAUCAUGCCUAUACGACUUACCGACUAUAAUGCUUCUUAACUCUGAAACUGUCUACUGCCUAAUCUGUCGCAUGCAUUCGUUGUUUAUUUGUGGGAGGUUAACUUGAGCCUUUUCUUACAUUUAUGUGAAGUCCUAUAUGAUUUCAAUGUGCGCUAGUUUUAUCAUUUUUAGCAUCCUAAGUAGAGUCUAGGACCACCUAAUAGUAGGUCCAAAGUCUCUUGGACCAUAAGCAUGGGACAAGUAGUGCACGCAUAGAACACAACCUAGAAAUAAAUUAGAGCGUCUCUAAGUAAAUAACUUUAACAUAGUAAUCGGAUAGCAAAAGAUGAUAGUCUGUGCCUGCUGAAUAAUAUGAGCAGCCCCUACCUUAAGGGAGUUACGAAGUAUUAUUUAUGUUGCACAGGGUGAUCCUUUAAGCUAAAAAACUUAGGACCCUCUUUCUUUUUAUAUGUUUAGUCAUCAUAUAUAGAUUAACCAAGUUGUACCUUGUAACCUCUAUAGACUUGUAUUAAUCAUCUAUAUAGUUUAAUUGUUGCUCGAUUUCCUUUACACUUGUUCAUAAUAGAACCUUUAAAUUCCUUUUCUUCCCUUACUUAUAUGAUCACUUACGAUGAUUGUAAUCCGAUAAUCCCACAUAGUGUAAACUUUGGCGGGGACCCACAGUUGUGGACCUCGAAGAGUGCCUAACACCUUCUCUUUGAGCUAACUUGAGCCCUUACCCGGUCUUUGGUGGCAAAGACUAGUUAAACAAAGUUAUUUACAAAUAGGUGCCCUAACGCACCUCAAAAAUCGUUAGGUGGCAACUCUUAUCUUCUAACACCCUCUUAAAAAAGUUGUCACACAUCGAAACCCGCUUUCGCGAGAAAACGAGGCGUGACAAUUGUCACAGAAUAAUGUUUUUUUUGUCCAGAGAAAAUUCCACCGAGAGUUAUACCGCUCAGAAGUUUGUAUUGUCUACAUAUCAUGGCACUACCUCAAGGCUUGUUGCUAUCAGUCAUUCAUCCGAGAAGGUCUCAAAGAUCUCUUCCACCUCAACUUUCUUUUUGGCUACUUCAAGCAUGGACAAGUGAUCAGCCACUUAUUUCUUCGUUUCUUUUAGGUCAUGGAUUUCUAAGCUAUAUUCUUGUAGUAGUAACAUCCACUUAAUCAUACACAACUUAGUUCCCAAGAGCAGCAUAGUCAGUAUAAGCUAUUACCUUUGAGCCCAUUAAGUACGACUUGGAUUUUCCGAAUGUGAACACCACUACUAGCAUCUCUUUCUCCAUCAUAGUGUAGGUGAGUUGGUCACUACUCAAGGUUCUACUUUCUAGUAGAUUGGAUGCAUGACUUUAUCUUUGCUGGCCAAAAACUGCCCCCACAACAUAGUCCCUUGCAUCACACAUCAGCUCAAACGGUUUCUCCUAGUUAGGUGCAACUAUAGUGGGUGCAUUCACCAACAUCUUAUUCAACUCCUCAAAAGUUACUCUGCAGUCAUCAAAAAACACAAAGGGAUGAUAUUUUUCAAGAAAUUUACAUAUAAGGUUAUCAAUUUUGAAAAAAUCCUUCUAAUAGAAGCCGUCACGACCAAGAAAACUUCUUAUUGCCUUUACCAAAGUGGGUGGUGGCAAUUUUUCUGUCACGCCAAUCUUAGCACAAUCGACCUUAAUACCUUUAUUGGACACUGGGUGCUCCCAGAUUGUACUUUCUUGUAUCGUAAAAUGAUACUUUUCCCGAUUUAGCAUCAAAUUUAUAUCUAUGCACCUUCUUAAAACUUUUUUCAAAUUCCCAAGACAAUCAUCGAAUGAAUCCCUCACUAUUGAUAAAUCAUCCAUGAAAACCUUCAUAAUAUCCUCAACCAUGUCAAUAAAGAUGGCCAUCAUACACCUCUAGAAUGUGAAGUGUGCAUUUUAUAGGGUGAAAGGCAUUCUCCGAAAAGCAUAAAUGCCAUACAGACAGGUGAAUGACAUUUCUCUCUAUCCUCAAGGGCAUAAAGAUCUGGUUGUUCUCCGAGUACUCUCCGAAAAUCAUAAAUAGUCUUGGCGUGGGUCUAAACUUGAGGAAAGAUGUUUAUAGCUCUUAUGUUGGGUUUUAAGCAUUGGUAUAAACUAUUGUCAUUGGUGUGAUACUUGAGUAGGUUCGAAAUUAUGUUACUCGCCUAUGUGCUUAAUAUUAAGUUGCUCGAGGACGAGCAAGAGUUUAAGUGUGGAGUGGUGAUUAAUGAUAAAAGGUGCAUACAUUUUAGUAUGUUUGCAUAUUAUUUCUUAUGUGAGUUGCGGGAGAUCACACAACUUUUGAUGUAAAAUAUGCUCAUUGUAUAUUUUUUUAUGUAUAGGAACAAACUUGUGCAUAAAUGGAUCAAAUACGAGAAAAAUUAGAAAAAAAGAACUGAAGAGAAAAGUUUCAGACAAUGAAGUGAUGUUCACUUCCCCAGACCGGGACCAGAGUAGAAGAAAAUAGCAACUGGGAGCUAGCGGUUUGGGUCACGAGUCUGGAGGCGCUCCCAACAUUUCAAUCCGAAAUAGGAGAAGUCAAAUCCGCCCCAACUCAAUCCCACUUAAUAUAAAUAUGAUUGUUAGCCACUUUUUGGAGGAGACAAAACUUUGAAGACGCAAGAACACACUUGGAGCAAGGAAAAGGAUUUUACUUCACAUUUUUCCCUCUUUCUUUCUAUUUUUUUAUUGUUAUUAAUUCUAGUGUUGUAGUUUUACAUACUAUAAUGAGUAGCUAAACUCUUUAUUUAGUGUUGUAGUUGAACCUCUUGGAGGAAGAAUUUCUGAUACAUUUAACAUAAUUGAGC
RNAcentral lists this long non-coding RNA (6022 nucleotides) under Nicotiana tabacum (common tobacco). RNAcentral describes it as "long non-coding RNA (NTAB_LNC016406)". The record is from RNAcentral. Lineage: Eukaryota; Viridiplantae; Streptophyta; Magnoliopsida; Solanales; Solanaceae.